This 62-nucleotide transfer RNA is filed under the name Alloxysta sp. ZJUH_2016001. RNAcentral describes it as "tRNA-Phe". Lineage: Eukaryota; Metazoa; Arthropoda; Insecta; Hymenoptera; Figitidae. The record is from RNAcentral.
AAUUAAAUAGUUUAAUAAAAACAUAAUAUUGAAGAUAUUAAAAUGAUUUUAAUCUUUAAUUA